Molecule: ribosomal RNA, 253 nt
Filed under: uncultured bacterium
Lineage: Bacteria
Description: partial 16S ribosomal RNA
Rfam family: Bacterial small subunit ribosomal RNA
Source: RNAcentral
UACGUAGGGGGCAAGCGUUGUCCGGAUUUCUUGGGCGUAAAGAGCGUGUAGGCGGCUAGAUAGGUCCGUUGUGAAAACUCGAGGCUCAACCUCGAGACGUCGAUGGAAACCAUCUGGCUAGAGUCCGGAAGAGGAGAGUGGAAUUCCUGGUGUAGCGGUGAAAUGCGCAGAUAUCAGGAAGAACACCCGUGGCGAAGGCGGCUCUCUGGGACGUGACUGACGCUGAGACGCGAAAGCGUGGGGAGCAAACAGG